RNAcentral lists this transfer RNA (72 nucleotides) under Patescibacteria group bacterium. Its description in RNAcentral is "tRNA-Arg". It matches the Rfam family "tRNA". Rfam says of the family: Transfer RNA (tRNA) molecules are approximately 80 nucleotides in length. Their secondary structure includes four short double-helical elements and three loops (D, anti-codon, and T loops). The record is from RNAcentral.
GCCCUCGUGGUGAAACGGAUAUCACAACAGUCUUCGGAACUGUUUUUGGGGGUUCGAAUCCCUCCGAGGGCA